UUUCCGUAGGUGAACCUGCGGAAGGAUCAUUAUUGGAUUUUGAAACUUCAGGCUGCUGCUGGCUCUCCUCGGAGGGCAUGUGCACGCUUGUUGUCCAUUAUUUCUCCCACUGUGCACAAAUUGUAGACCUUUCAGUAGGCCUAUGUUGCUUUUCACAAUCUCUGAAUGUAAUAGAAUGGUUUUGAAUCUUGGGAAAUACAUACAACUUUCAGCAACGGAUCUCUUGGCUCUC
This 232-nucleotide unclassified non-coding RNA is filed under the name plant metagenome. RNAcentral describes it as "partial contains small subunit ribosomal RNA, internal transcribed spacer 1, and 5.8S ribosomal RNA". The record is from RNAcentral.